Molecule: ribosomal RNA, 442 nt
Filed under: uncultured bacterium
Lineage: Bacteria
Description: partial 16S ribosomal RNA
Rfam family: Bacterial small subunit ribosomal RNA
Source: RNAcentral
CCUACGGGAGGCAGCAGUAGGGAAUCUUUCACAAUGGGCGAAAGCCUGAUGGAGCAACGCCGCGUGCAGGAUGAAGGCCUUCGGGUUGUAAACUGCUUUUAUAAGCGAGAAAUAUGAUGGUAACUUAUGAAUAAGGAUCGGCUAACUACGUGCCAGCAGCCGCGGUCAUACGUAGGAUCCGAGCAUUAUCCGGAGUGACUGGGUGUAAAGAGUUGCGUAGGUGGCAUAAUAAGUAGCUAGUGAAAUCUGGUGGCUCAACCAUUCAGACUAUUAGCUAAACUGUUAAGCUCGAGACCGUUAGGGGUAACUGGAAUGUCUAGUGCAGGAGUGAAAUCCGUAGAUAUUAGAAGGAACACCAAUAGCGUAGGCAGGUUGCUGGGACGGUUCUGACACUAAGGCACGAAAGCGUAGGGAGCAAACGGGAUUAGAUACCCCAGUAGUC